Molecule: ribosomal RNA, 406 nt
Filed under: uncultured bacterium
Lineage: Bacteria
Description: partial 16S ribosomal RNA
Rfam family: Bacterial small subunit ribosomal RNA
Source: RNAcentral
AUUGAACGCUGGCGGCAUGCCUAACACACGCAAGUCGAACGAGUGGCGGACGGGUGAGUACUGUCUGGGAAACUGCUCGAUGUAGGGGGAUAACUACUGGAAUUGGUAGCUAAUACCGCAUACCAUCGGAUGUGCCCAGAUGGUAUUAGCUAGUGGGUGGGGUAACUGCUCACCUAGGCGACGAUCCCUAGCUGGUGCGAGAGGAUGACCAGACACCCUGGAACUGAGACACGGUCCAGACUCCUACGGGAGGCAGCAGUGGGGAAUAUUGAACAAUGGGCGCAAGCCGGAUGCAGCCAUGCCGCGUGUAUGAAGAAGGCCUUCGGGUUGUAAAGUACUUUCAGCGAGGAGGCGUUACUCGCAGAAGAAGCACCGGCUAACUCCGUGCCAGCAGCCGCGGUAAUUC